AGUGAACGCUGGCGGUAGGCCUAACACAUGCAAGUCGAACGGCAGCACAGGAGAGCUUGCUCUCUAGGUGGCGAGUGGCGGACGGGUGAGGAAUACAUCGGAAUCUGCCCAGUCGUGGGGGAUAACGUAGGGAAACUUACGCUAAUACCGCAUACGACCUUCGGGUGAAAGAGGGGGAUCGCAAGACCUCUCGCGAUUGGAUGAGCCGAUGUCGGAUUAGCUAGUUAGCGGGGUAAUGGCCCACCAAGGCGACGAUCCGUAGCUGGUCUGAGAGGAUGAUCAGCCACACUGGAACUGAGACACGGUCCAGACUCCUACGGGAGGCAGCAGUGGGGAAUAUUGGACAAUGGGCGCAAGCCUGAUCCAGCCAUACCGCGUAGGUGAAGAAGGCCUUCGGGUUGUAAAGCCCUUUUGUUGGGAAAGAAAUCUUUCAGGCUAAUACCCUGGGAGGAUGACGGUACCCAAAGAAUAAGCACCGGCUAACUUCGUG
This 490-nucleotide ribosomal RNA is filed under the name uncultured bacterium. RNAcentral's name for it is "partial 16S ribosomal RNA". It matches the Rfam family "Bacterial small subunit ribosomal RNA", at positions 29 to 507 of the family's 1533-position model. The record is from RNAcentral.